ACGGAAGGCAGCAGUGAGGAAUAUUGGUCAAUGGGCGGAAGCCUGAACCAGCCAAGUCGCGUGAAGGAAGAAGGUAUUAUGUAUUGUAAACUUCUUUAGCAGCAGAGAAAUAAGGUGGACGUGUCCACUGAUGCUAGUAUGCUGAGAAUAAGCAUCGGCUAACUCCGUGCCAGCAGCCGCGGUAAUACGGAGGAUGCGAGCGUUAUCCGGAUUUAUUGGGUUUAAAGGGUGCGCAGGCGGUCUUUUAAGUCAGUGGUCAAAUCGUGGUGCUCAACGCCAUCCCGCCAUUGGUACUGGGAGACUUGAUGGCGGUUGAGGUAGGCGGAAUUCGUCGUGUAGCGGUGAAAUGCAUAGAUAUGACGAAGAACACCGAUUGCGUAGGCAGCUUACCAAGCCGUAAAUGACGCUCAUGCACGAAAGUGCGGGGAUCGAACAGGAUUAGAUACCCUGGUA
RNAcentral lists this ribosomal RNA (453 nucleotides) under uncultured Porphyromonadaceae bacterium. Its description in RNAcentral is "partial 16S ribosomal RNA". It matches the Rfam family "Bacterial small subunit ribosomal RNA", at positions 341 to 792 of the family's 1533-position model. Lineage: Bacteria; Pseudomonadati; Bacteroidota; Bacteroidia; Bacteroidales; Porphyromonadaceae. The record is from RNAcentral.